This 549-nucleotide ribosomal RNA is filed under the name uncultured Glomeromycotina. Its description in RNAcentral is "SSU rRNA". It matches the Rfam family "Eukaryotic small subunit ribosomal RNA", at positions 548 to 1098 of the family's 1831-position model. The record is from RNAcentral. Lineage: Eukaryota; Fungi; Glomeromycota.
UUGGAGGGCAAGUCUGGUGCCAGCAGCCGCGGUAAUUCCAGCUCCAAUAGCGUAUAUUAAAGUUGUUGCAGUUAAAAAGCUCGUAGUUGAAUUUCGGGGUUAGUAGGUUGGUCAUGCCUCUGGUAUGUACUGGUCUCACUGAUUCCUCCUUCCUGAUGAACCUUACUGCCAUUUAUUUGGUGUUUUGGGGAAUUUGGACUGUUACUUUGAAAAAAUUAGAGUGUUUAAAGCAAGCUAACGCUUGAAUACAUUAGCAUGGAAUAAUGAAAUAGGACGUUCGAUCCUAUUUUGUUGGUUUCUAGGAUUGACGUAAUGAUUAAUAGGGAUAGUUGGGGGCAUUAGUAUUCAAUUGUCAGAGGUGAAAUUCUUGGAUUUAUUGAAGACUAACUACUGCGAAAGCAUUUGCCAAGGAUGUUUUCAUUAAUCAAGAACGAAAGUUAGGGGAUCGAAGACGAUCAGAUACCGUCGUAGUCUUAACCAUAAACUAUGCCGACUAGGGAUCGAAUGAUGUUAAUUUUUUAAUGACUCAUUCGGCGCCUUACGGGAAAC